GUACAAACUUAAUCACUCCCUUACCUGAUGUUGUAGAAGCUAGGAGAACCAAACUUGCUAAACUAAUCAUGGUAAUAGGCAUUUAUUAGCCUCAGAAGCUACUGAGGUGGCCCAUUCCAUCCCGUACAGUA
Molecule: small nucleolar RNA, 131 nt
Organism: Ictidomys tridecemlineatus (thirteen-lined ground squirrel)
Lineage: Eukaryota; Metazoa; Chordata; Mammalia; Rodentia; Sciuridae
Source: Ensembl